AUUGAACGCUGGCGGCAUGCUUUACACAUGCAAGUCGAACGGCAGCACGGACUUCGGUCUGGUGGCGAGUGGCGAACGGGUGAGUAAUACAUCGGAACGUACCCAGAAGUGGGGGAUAACGCAGCGAAAGUUGCGCUAAUACCGCAUACGUUCUACGGAAGAAAGUGGGGGAUCUUCGGACCUCAUGCUUUUGGAGCGGCCGAUGUCUGAUUAGCUAGUUGGUGGGGUAAAGGCUCACCAAGGCGACGAUCAGUAGCUGGUCUGAGAGGACGACCAGCCACACUGGAACUGAGACACGGUCCAGACUCCUACGGGAGGCAGCAGUGGGGAAUUUUGGACAAUGGGCGCAAGCCUGAUCCAGCAAUGCCGCGUGAGUGAAGAAGGCCUUCGGGUUGUAAAGCUCUUUUGUCAGGGAAGAAACGGCUCCGGCUAAUAUCCGGGGCUAAUGACGGUACCUGAAGAAUAAGCACCGGCUAACUACGUGCCAGCAGCCGCGGUAAUACGUAGGGUGCAAGCGUUAAUCGGAAUUACUGGGCGUAAAGCGUGCGCAGGCGGUUUUGUAAGUCUGUCGUGAAAGCCCCGGGCUCAACCUGGGAAUUGCGAUGGAGACUGCAAGGCUUGAAUCUGGCAGAGGGGGGUAGAAUUCCACGUGUAGCAGUGAAAUGCGUAGAGAUGUGGAGGAACACCGAUGGCGAAGGCAGCCCCCUGGGUCAAGAUUGACGCUCAUGCACGAAAGCGUGGGGAGCAAACAGGAUUAGAUACCCUGGUAGUCCACGCCCUAAACGAUGUCUACUAGUUGUCGGGUUUUAAUUAACUUGGUAACGCAGCUAACGCGUGAAGUAGACCGC
This 848-nucleotide ribosomal RNA is filed under the name uncultured bacterium. RNAcentral's name for it is "bacterial SSU rRNA". It matches the Rfam family "Bacterial small subunit ribosomal RNA", at positions 28 to 872 of the family's 1533-position model. The record is from RNAcentral.